GCCAGGCGUGGUGGUGCACACCUGUAAUCCCAGCUACUUGGGAGGCUGAGGCAGGAGAAUCACUUGAACCCAGGAGGCGGAGGUUGCAGUGAGCCAAAAUCAUGCCAUUGCACUCCAGCCUGGGUGACAAAGGGAGAUUCUGUCUCAA
Molecule: unclassified non-coding RNA, 148 nt
Organism: Pongo abelii (Sumatran orangutan)
Lineage: Eukaryota; Metazoa; Chordata; Mammalia; Primates; Hominidae
Rfam family: Metazoan signal recognition particle RNA
About the family: The signal recognition particle (SRP) is a universally conserved ribonucleoprotein. It is involved in the co-translational targeting of proteins to membranes.
Source: Ensembl